Pipistrellus kuhlii (Kuhl's pipistrelle) is the source of this 1958-nucleotide long non-coding RNA. RefSeq lists it as uncharacterized. NCBI's taxonomy places the organism in Eukaryota, Metazoa, Chordata, Mammalia, Chiroptera, Vespertilionidae. The record is from RefSeq and is a predicted model, not a curated record. The transcript is spliced from 2 exons.
AAAAAAAGAUUCUCCAGAUUGGGCAACUAAAUGCUUAAUCAAAUCAUUUUUGAAACACUGUUUCCUAAUAAGGUCUUGAUCCACAGAGCACUUCUUAAGAGGCCUUGUGGGACCCAAGUCUCCACUGGAAUCCUGUUUCCUGGGAGCCUGAUGUGCAGCACUAAAGACGUGAAACAAUAAGGAUGGAGCCAAAUUGUUCUUUAUAAGGAAGAUUGGUGGUAAUAAUUUAUAUUAUUAGUGAGGUGGGUGAAGGUGUUGUCUGUAAAUUGGUUGGCCAAGUCCCCGAGAAUGGUCUCUGAUGGGAGACUGACCUGAGUUUGAGUCCUGGCUCUGUUACUUAUCAACUCUGAGAUUUUUGAGAAACUCAGAGACCUCAUCUAUAAAGCAGGAAGCCAUACUUACCUUGAGAUCAUAUUAAUUUUACAGUCAUAGUUACCAUGCUAACGUGGGGGACAAGUGAAAUAGUUAUUCUUACCAAAUCCCCAGUGCUUGGAGCAAAGAAGGGUCCUCCGCCAGUGCCGAGGGAUGGCAAGUGAGCAACCCUGCCGGUGGGUUUCAUUCAGAGAGGUAUUGGCAGGGACCCAGGCUUCGGAAUUUAAGGAAAGGGAUGUAAAGAGUAAAAGGAAAAUAUAUCAUGGUGGAAAGAGGUUAUUGCUUUCAAGACCUAGAUGAGUAGGCUGAUUGAACUAUACAUAUCUAAUUCCUGAAAGAUAGCCUAGCAAAGCAGUUGAAUUACCAUUUUAAAGCAUUUGCUAUUAAUGCGAAAGACCUGAUGGCCAUUUUCUAAAGAACCCUAAUAACAACUCUGCUAGUGGCUUAAAGAAUUUAUUUUAUAAGAAAUGUGUGUAAAUAAUCAUUAAAUGUAGUCAAGGCAUUGAUUAGGUACUCAAAAAUAUUUAUUGAAUGAAGUAUAUUAUAUGAGUGUCUUAGGGUUAGUAGAAUUUAUACCAUAUAACAAUUAGAUAUUUAAAAAUGAAGAUGAUAGUCACAGAAGUUAGCCAAAUGGAAAAGGAAAAAUUAACUAAGAGAAAGGGUAAAACACUUAAUAUAGGAAUGUUCUUAAGUCUAAAUAGACUCAGUGAGAGGUGGGUGGGUACAAGAUAAGCAGCUAGAGAGUUCUGAAUGGAUUUAGUCCUUAUCUAUGCUCACAAAAGGAGCUGGCUACCAGAAGGCAAAAACAAAGCAGAAUCAUCUCUAAAGAAUUCUGUAUUUGUCUUUGAAUGUCUCAUAGGAUGAUUAUUUUGGUUCAUAUCAACUGUCCUGGUUAAGUUGGUUUCAACGCUGCUUUUCCUGAGUAUGCACCAGCUGAUAGUAAGGGCUGACACUCAGCAAUGUGUAGGGGAACUUUUCUUCCCUGGGAUUAAAAUUGUGGACAUGUAUAAUCCUCAGACAGAGCUGGGAGGAAGUCAAUCAUUCUGGGUAUCUGAGUUUUUCACGUCCCAAGAAAAACUACCCUGAAAGCACAAGUUCAACUGCUUUCCUCAUCAGGAAAGUAGUCUAUGUUUAAAGGAAAAAUGAAUGAGAGUAUUUAACUGUGGUUCAUCCAUACCAUGGACCACUACUCAGCAAUAAAAUGAACCAGGUACUGAUUUACUCUACAACUUGGAUGACUCUCCAGAGAAUUAUGAUGAGUAAAAAAGCAUAAUCUACAAGGCUAUCCAGUGUAUGAUUCCAUUUAUAUCAACAUUCUUAAAGUGAAAAAUUAUAUAAAUGGAGAAUAGAUGAGGAGUCUAGGGUGGGGGUGGUGAUGGGAUGGGUGUGGUGUUUGUGAGGGACCCUUGUGGUGAUUGGACUGUCAGUACCUUGACUCUACCAAUGUCAGUAUUCUGGUUGUGAUGUGGUUCUAGAGUUUUGUAAGAUGGAGAGUAGAAACUGGGGAAAAGGAACAUGGGAUUUCUCUGUAUUAUUUCUUACAAUUGCAUGUGAACCUAUAAUCAUCUUCAAAUAAAACUUCAAUU